CAAGAAUGGACGACAGAGACAGGACUACCGUUCACAGGACUAUUUAUUUAACGUAACGGUAAUUCAGGGAAAAGGGGCUGGACGGAACCAAAGCAAAGAACAUAAAGACAGCAACACAGACCGAUAGCAACAGCAGGUGUGACUCUCCUGUGAGAUACCAGAACUGUGGCUUAUAUGCAGGCUAAACCAGCUGCAAGCACUGACGAGCGGGCGUAGGGGCUCUCCAAUCAGCCCCAAACCGACCAAUCAGCUGCAACCAGCGAUCAGGAAGCCAAUUAGCCUGCAACCACCACAUAGAACACCAAGGGACAAAAACACACACGAACACAGAACAAAAGAAGGCACCAGGGACGUAACAGCCUCACACACACAGUGCUGGAGAUCACCCUAUGAAUGGCAGACAAGGGGAUUUGAGAAACGUGUCAAGCCACUCCAGAUGACCCAUGUUAUGCUGUCGGAGGCCCAUCCCGUACCUCCUUUCUUCCCUGCCAGAACAAACCUUAAACACCUCCUGGAACAUGUUCCCCAUGAAUGAACCAGAUUGGGGACAGGUGGAGCUGAUUGGGUCGUUGACAGGUUGCACCUGGGUGUGGGACCAACUAGAAGAGAAACGUUCCUGGUGGCCGGUCCUGGAUGGUUCUCUCCCCACAAGGACUAUGUUGUUUUGUGAUUUGGUUGUUGUGUUUUAAUUAGGUUUGCCCCUCCACAUUUUACACUUGUCUAGGAUUCUCCACUCAUAUGUCUACUUUCAUACUUCACAGGUCUGUUUUUAUACUUUUUGCUACUGUUUUAAUGCCAACAUGUGGACUCACCAUCUGAGAGCCAGGUUGUGACAAUAUAACCUUCAAUAUGCAUUCUAUCCAUUUUUCUUUUAACGAAGUGAUCACUGAUUAGGAUUGUAUUUAGAGUUUGUGUCAAUAAUAUUCAUUAGAUCAACAUAUGUAGAUGUACUGGUAUCUAAGUAUCAGUUUGACAAGUUAUUAUUGGUUAGAUCAGAGGUAUCAAACCAAUUUCAUGGAGGGCUGGUUUUCGCCCUCUCCUUGUACUUGAUUGGUUCGUAUCUACCCUCACCUGGUUGUUUAGGUCUGAACUGGGAACCAAUUUAUAGGAAAAACCUGCAGACACUCGUCCCUCCGUGGAACCGUUUUGACACCCCUGGGUUAGAUGCAAACUGCAUUUAGUUGUACUGUGCUUGUUCAAUGACACACUUGAAUCUAAUCUAUUCAAGCAGCAUAUUUCAUUUUCUAUAAGGGCAACAGUUAUAUUUUACCUCACUCAGAUGCAGGUAAUCCCUGAGAAGUACAAAUGAAGUCCCAAAGCAUUGACCGUCUCACUGCUGGUUUAACUAUUUCUGCUUGUUUAUAGGACAAAGUCAACCAUUGCAUUAAACCCACAGUGUUAAGUCACUCCAUGAUUUCCAUAUCAACCAUUCCCCAGGUUUCACAUGCCCAUGUGAUACUGCUGAAACUAACAGUAAUUUAUUAUUUUCAAGUAAAAAUGUAAGAAACUGGUAACUGACUGACCAUUCAUAAUUAUUCAGACCACCUAUUAAAGACUGGAGAUAGAUUUAUUAGGUGUGAUUCAGAAAUGUAAUGACAUUAUACACAUUUGUAUGUGAUUAUUUUAUAUCUUACUCCCAGUGCUCAUCAUACCUCAAUAAGAAUCAUGUACAUCAGUUAUAAUUCAUGAGGCGACCAUAGUCUACACACCCACAACAACAUUUCUGUCGUGUUACAUACAAGGAUUAUGUUGGACAAUUAUUAUGUUAUUUUGGACAAUUGUUUUCAUGUCUUUAACUUUUCUUUUAAUAAAGUGAAUAAGAAUGA
Molecule: long non-coding RNA, 1826 nt
Organism: Esox lucius (northern pike)
Lineage: Eukaryota; Metazoa; Chordata; Actinopteri; Esociformes; Esocidae
Source: Ensembl